RNAcentral lists this ribosomal RNA (231 nucleotides) under uncultured bacterium. RNAcentral's name for it is "partial 16S ribosomal RNA". It matches the Rfam family "Bacterial small subunit ribosomal RNA", at positions 28 to 258 of the family's 1533-position model. The record is from RNAcentral.
GACGAACGCUGGCGGCGUGCUUAACACAUGCAAGUCGAGCGGUAAGGCCCUUUCGGGGGUACGACGAGCGGCGAACGGGUGAGUAACACGUGGGUGACCUGCCCUCAGCUCUGGGAUAAGCCUGGGAAACCGGGUACUAAUACCGGAUAUGACUCCAUGACGCAUGUUGUGGGGUGGAAAGCCUUGUGCGGCUGAGGAUGGGCCCGCGGCCUAUCAGCUUGUUGGUGGGGU